GUAGGUGGCAAGCGUUGUCCGGAAUUAUUGGGCGUAAAGCGCGCGCAGGCGGUCCUUUAAGUCUGAUGUGAAAGCCCACGGCUCAACCGUGGAGGGUCAUUGGAAACUGGGGGACUUGAGUACAGAAGAGGAAAGCGGAAUUCCAAGUGUAGCGGUGAAAUGCGUAGAGAUUUGGAGGAACACCAGUGGCGAAGGCGGCUUUCUGGUCUGCAACUGACGCUGAGGCGCGAAAGCGUGGGGAGCAAACAGGAUUAGAUACCCUGGUAGUCCACGCCGUAAACGAUGAGUGCUAAGUGUUAGGGGGUUUCCGCCCCCCUUAGUGCUGCAGCUAACGCAUUAAGCACUCCGCCCUGGGAGUACGGCCGCAAGGCUG
RNAcentral lists this ribosomal RNA (373 nucleotides) under uncultured organism. Its description in RNAcentral is "partial 16S ribosomal RNA". It matches the Rfam family "Bacterial small subunit ribosomal RNA", at positions 527 to 896 of the family's 1533-position model. The record is from RNAcentral.